AAGUAGGUCCCAAGGGUUGGUCUGUUCGCCCAUUAAAGCGGUACGUGAGCUGGGUUUAGAACGUCGUAAGACAGUAAGUGACCGUUGCUGUCUAUAAAUUUGGCUAUAUGCUGGGAAAUCCGAGAAUCACCUCCUACUUGACAAAAGAUGUUGAUAGAGAUAAAAUAUCUCUAUGGCAAGUAAAAACGGAGGGUGUGCGGAUAAUCAGCAGGCAAGCAGGAAAAAAAUAUCAGAUGAAUAUUUUACUGGCUUCGUUGAUGGAGAAGGCUGUUUCUAUGUAGGUUUCAGCCGAAGAAAAGAUUUACCUUUAGGUUGGCAGGUUAUUACAGAGUUCCAUCUCAGUCAGAACCCACAGGGAAAACUAAUUUUAGAACAAUUUCAAAGAAGAUUAGGAUGUGGUUACCUUAAACCUAAUCACCCUAAAAGCAAAAGAGAUAAAACCUGGGUUUUGAUUGUGAAAGACAGAAAAGACCUAAAGGAAAGGUUGAUACCUUUCUUUCAGAAACAUCCUCUUCAUUCAGGGAAAAGAAAAGAUUUUAUGCUCUUUGUUAAAGUACUUCAGUUGAUUGAAAAAGGAAGUCACCUUAAACCUGAAGGUUUUAGGAAGAUAGCCAAUUUGGUCUUCCAAUUACCACGAAGUCGGAAACGUUAUUUGAAAGAAGAGAUAUUUUUCUCCUGUGGCCUCAGAGACUAUACGCCAAAUACCUCGAAAAGGUAAAGAUAUAGUCCGAUCUCACGGGCGACUGUGAGAGUUUCGCAGAAAUGCGAAGUCACCUCUUCUUGAAUCUAGAAGGGGUUAUAAGUCUCUGAUAGGAGAUGAAGUAACAGAAUGUCGGUCUCUAUCUGCUGUGGGCGUUGGAUAUUUGAAGGGGAGCUAUCCCUAGUACGAGAGGAUUGGGAUGGACGAACCUCUGGUGUUCCAGCUGUUCCGCCAGGAGCAAUCGCUGGGUAGCUAUGUUCGGAAAGGAUAAGCGCUGAAAGCAUCUAAGCGCGAAGCCUCCCCCAAGAUAAGAUAUCCCUCUGCCGCAAGGUGGACUAAAGAUUCCAGGAAGACGACCUGGUUGAUAGGCCAGAUGUGUAAGUCCAGUAAUGGAUUCAGCUAACUGGUACUAAUCAAUCGUGUGGCUUGACCAUAGAU
This 1138-nucleotide ribosomal RNA is filed under the name bacterium (Candidatus Ratteibacteria) CG_4_10_14_3_um_filter_41_18. Its description in RNAcentral is "partial 23S ribosomal RNA". It matches the Rfam family "Bacterial large subunit ribosomal RNA", at positions 2556 to 2925 of the family's 2925-position model. Lineage: Bacteria; Candidatus Ratteibacteria. The record is from RNAcentral.